Long non-coding RNA from Macrobrachium nipponense, 790 nucleotides. RefSeq lists it as uncharacterized. The record is from RefSeq and is a predicted model, not a curated record. Lineage: Eukaryota; Metazoa; Arthropoda; Malacostraca; Decapoda; Palaemonidae. The transcript is spliced from 3 exons.
GCACCUUGCAGGCCAUCCUCUUCAGCCCCAUGUUUCCUCUACCCGUCCACUGGACGAUAUUCGCCGGGAGUCUGGCCUACAAUUACUACCACGGCAUCGUUGACCAUUCGGGCGUCACUUUCGAGGCCCAGUGGUGGCAGCCUUGGCAGCCAGGUGCCAUGUUCCAUGACAAUCAUCAUCAGUAUACCUUUGUGAACUUCGGCGUCAACUGUAAAUAUUGGGAUAUGAUUCACCGGACUGACAGAAGGAAGACUCGAAGGCCAUGAAAGCGGUUUCGACUGAAUGACGUCUACGUUUAUCAUUUGUAAAAGCGUUUUGAUGGCGAUGAUAAACACCAUUGCCUGCAAGUGCUUCGCGUGGCUAACCCUCUACCGUCAACCAAGCGGUAUUCAAUGUUUUUGGAAAGUAAGCCAGAGGAAAAGUUUAAGAAAAAGAACACCGCGAUCUUCGUAAGGAAUCACUCACGUCGUACAUGAGGAGGCACGUUAAGCAAGUCUCGAGGUCCUUAACCUAAAUCCGCUCUGUGAAACUCAAAGCGUAGAUGGAUCAGUAAAUAAACGAUGUACAGAAAUAAACUAAAAGAUAGAGAGAUUAUAAUUAGAAACAGUUUUACAGGGAGCAGAGACAUCCUUUGUAUAUUGGUGUUGUCAUUUAAUGGAAUGGAGAUUGCACUUACAGAUGGUUUCCCAUUUUGUUCCAUUUGUUUAUAAUUCAUUCAUCAUCAACUGACAUUUUUUUUGUAGUGUUAUUUACUAUUUAGAUAUGUGACUCAAUGAAAAUUACAAUUUCU